Sander lucioperca (pikeperch) is the source of this 2472-nucleotide RNA transcript. It is a transcript of the gene named stomatin-like protein 2, mitochondrial, with no coding region annotated. The record is from RefSeq and is a predicted model, not a curated record. The transcript has 11 exons. Lineage: Eukaryota; Metazoa; Chordata; Actinopteri; Perciformes; Percidae.
AGAUAACAUUGUCGUGCUAGCGGAACCAUAGCCGUUCGGUUAUUGCAGCCCGAGUUUUUCACCGCUGCACCACUGAUGUAACUUUCAUUUCCUGAUUGGUAAGGGGUCAUUAUCAGAACAGUUUGUGUAGAGUCCAGUCUACGGAGCUGAACCGUCUUUUCACAAUCACUGAAACUAAUGAGAUGAUGUUACGAACGCUGUGUCGGACCGGCGGGGCCCUCCUUCAGCAAACCCAGCGGGCCGCGCCCAGGUUGUGGGUUACACCCGCCCAGCAGCGAUGGGCGUCCAGCCUGCCCAUGAACACCGUGGUCCUGUUUGUGCCCCAGCAGGAAGCCUGGGUGGUGGAGAGAAUGGGUCGCUUCCACCGGAUCCUAGAGCCGGGUCUAAACUUCCUCAUACCCAUACUUGACAGAGUGCGCUACGUGCAGAGUCUCAAAGAGAUAGUCAUUGAUGUGCCGGAGCAGUCUGCAGUAUCUCUAGAUAAUGUAACACUACAGAUUGAUGGAGUGCUUUACUUAAGGAUCCUAGACCCUUUUAAGGCCAGUUACGGUGUCGAGGAGCCAGAAUAUGCCGUGACACAGUUGGCGCAGACCACCAUGCGUUCAGAAUUAGGCAAACUCACACUGGACAAAGUGUUCAGGGAAAGGGAGUCCCUCAAUUCCAACAUCGUCCACUCCAUCAACCAAGCUUCGGAUGAGUGGGGGAUCCGUUGCCUCCGUUAUGAAAUCAAAGAUAUACACGUUCCACCUCGUGUCAAAGAGUCCAUGCAGAUGCAGGUGGAGGCGGAGCGUAAGAAGAGAGCCACGGUAUUGGACUCCGAAGGGAUGAGGGAAGCAGCCAUUAAUGUCGCCGAGGGUCAGAAACGAGCUCAGAUUCUGGCCUCGGAGGGUGAAAAAGCAGAGCAGAUCAAUAAAGCGGCUGGUGAGGCCCAAGCAGUUCUGGCCAGAGCAGAGGCAAAAGCUAAGGCUAUCUGUAUGCUGUCAGAUGCUCUGACCCAGCAGAACGGAGAUGCGGCAGCCUCGCUGAGUGUAGCCGAGCAGUAUGUGUCUGCUUUCUCCAAACUCGCCAAAGAGUCCAACACCAUCCUCCUGCCCUCUAAUACUGGGGACAUUAGCGGAAUGAUCACCCAGGCCAUGACCAUUUACAGCACGAUGGCAAAGAAGGGUCCAAAAGUACCAGAAGCGGCGCAGCUGAAGAGUGAAGACCAUGCGAACCAAUCAUCUCAAUAGCAGAGGACUCGGCGAAUGAACUCAAAGCAGUAAAACGUCACAGAAGCAGAAAACAGUUUAUGUUUCAGUUACGGGGGGACUCCAAGGCAUCGCUGUGUGAUGAUCACAUACCCCUCUACUGACCGGACAGGAAAACUAUCACCUUUACAAACAUUUUUCUGUAGGAUUUUUAAUCUUCGCUGUAUAUUUAUGUUCAGAUAUUGUCCGAUUGGAAAGUUAACACCAGCCUUCGGCCAAAUAUACUCACACCAGUGACUUUGGCAGGCUGACAAAAUGGAGAAAUUGGAUGAGGUUUUGGGAUUUAUCAGCUACUGUGGACAGUGGAUGCAGAAGUAAGCCCUGAGUGUUGUGCAGGAUAUGAUUUAUAAGUCAUUUGUGGGCAAUUUCUGUUGUGCAUCAGAUCUGUUGCGUGUGGUUUGUAUUUUUGCAUAAACCUUAUUAGAAUUGGAUGUAACGGUUUUUAAUUUUACCGCUCUACUUCAAAAUGUAAGUGAAACACACAAUUAUUUUUGAAUGUUUUCUCCUUUUGCAGCCUGUUUUUCAGGGCUGGCCAACAUCUGCUUUGUUACGGCUUGUUUACAGACAUCAGCGACAAUUCUUCAACUGUCCUCAGCUUCAUUGGGACCAGCAACUUUGUUGCUACAUGUGACGCCACAAAAUGGUGAAAGAUUCCCCAAAGUGUAGUUAAUUCACAACUUGUUUGAUUGAAACAUCUCCCUGAAAAGCUAAUCCAGUAUUUAUUUAGGAAUAUUUUCUGAUAUUAUUCAUUAUAAACUAUUCCUUCUCGAUAACUAGUUAGUAUACAAAGACGUCCCUCAGAACAAAUGUCCCUGCCAUCUUCAUAUUAGUAUUCACCUCGUAUGUCUUAUUCAAUUUCAUGGUUCUCUGCAAAGACGGCAAGUUUGUCAUGUCAUAGGCUUCACUGGUGUUUACAGGUUUAUAAUAAAUAAUGCAAAAAUUACAUUUGUGUCAUUUGAGACUGGAAGUAAAGAGACUGCAGUAAGUUUAUGACUUGGUGAAAUGAGAAGUUGUAAAGCACUUGUUUGGAAAUAUACAAUUAUGUUGGAUAUGUGUAAAAAAAAAAUGAAUGUGGAACAACUGCAACUCAAUGUAAUGUUUUGGAAAACCUUGACUGUUGAUGAAAAAAAACUCCCAGUAGGAUUUGAAAAAGGAUGUUAAAGUUGAACUCCAUGUUUUGGGUCACUGUUUGCCAUCAAAUAAAAAAAAUAAAUACAUGGGUUCA